GAUGAACGCUGGCGGCAUGCCUAAUACAUGCAAGUCGAGCGAACAGACGAGGAGCUUGCUCCUCUGACGUUAGCGGCGGACGGGUGAGUAACACGUGGAUAACCUACCUAUAAGACUGGGAUAACUUCGGGAAACCGGAGCUAAUACCGGAUAACAUGUUGAACCGCAUGGUUCAACAGUGAAAGACGGUCUUGCUGUCACUUAUAGAUGGAUCCGCGCCGCAUUAGCUAGUUGGUAAGGUAACGGCUUACCAAGGCAACGAUGCGUAGCCGACCUGAGAGGGUGAUCGGCCACACUGGAACUGAGACACGGUCCAGACUCCUACGGGAGGCAGCAGUAGGGAAUCUUCCGCAAUGGGCGAAAGCCUGACGGAGCAACGCCGCGUGAGUGAAGAAGGUCUUCGGAUCGUAAAACUCUGUUAUUAGGGAAGAACAAAUGUGUAAGUAACUAUGCACGUCUUGACGGUACCUAAUCAGAAAGCCACGGCUAACUACGUG
RNAcentral lists this ribosomal RNA (497 nucleotides) under uncultured bacterium. Its description in RNAcentral is "partial 16S ribosomal RNA". It matches the Rfam family "Bacterial small subunit ribosomal RNA", at positions 28 to 507 of the family's 1533-position model. The record is from RNAcentral.